Molecule: ribosomal RNA, 315 nt
Filed under: Acinetobacter baumannii
Lineage: Bacteria; Pseudomonadati; Pseudomonadota; Gammaproteobacteria; Moraxellales; Moraxellaceae
Description: partial 23S ribosomal RNA
Rfam family: Bacterial large subunit ribosomal RNA
Source: RNAcentral
GGUACUACAUGUACAGCAUAGGUGGGAGGCUUUGAUUCCAGGACGCCAGUUUUGGAUGAGCCACCGUUGGGAUACCACCCCUGUAGUACUGGGACUCUAACCAGAGGCCUUGAAUCAGGUCUUGGGACACUGUCAGGCGGGCAGUUUGACUGGGGCGGUCGCCUCCCAAAAGGUAACGGAGGCGCUCAAAGGUUCUCUCAGCACGGUCGGAAAUCGUGCAUAGAGUGUAAAGGCAUAAGAGAGCUUGAUUGCAAGACAUACAGGUCGAGCAAGGACGAAAGUCGGACUUAGUGAUCCGGUGGUUCUGAGUGGAAG